Mastomys coucha (southern multimammate mouse) is the source of this 138-nucleotide small nucleolar RNA. RefSeq annotates it as small nucleolar RNA SNORA48. The record is from RefSeq and is a predicted model, not a curated record. The transcript has a single exon. Lineage: Eukaryota; Metazoa; Chordata; Mammalia; Rodentia; Muridae.
CCUCCUGGCAAUGGACAAAGAGACACCUCCUUGGUGGUGUUGCUCUUAUGUCAGAUAUAGCAGACGGCAGUCCUUUGUUCAGCCUAGCUUGAUACUUGGCUUAGUGGCCAAAAGCUGUGUUAUGCCUAGGACUCAUAA